GGGGUCGUGAUGUAACCUGGUUUAGCAUAGGAGCUUUGGGAGCUUCAUAUGGGUGUUCAAAUCACCCCGACCCCA
Molecule: transfer RNA, 75 nt
Filed under: Candidatus Aenigmatarchaeota archaeon
Lineage: Archaea; Nanobdellati; Candidatus Aenigmatarchaeota
Description: tRNA-Pro
Rfam family: tRNA
About the family: Transfer RNA (tRNA) molecules are approximately 80 nucleotides in length. Their secondary structure includes four short double-helical elements and three loops (D, anti-codon, and T loops).
Source: RNAcentral